This 488-nucleotide ribosomal RNA is filed under the name uncultured bacterium. RNAcentral describes it as "partial 16S ribosomal RNA". It matches the Rfam family "Bacterial small subunit ribosomal RNA", at positions 28 to 507 of the family's 1533-position model. The record is from RNAcentral.
GACGAACGCUGGCGGCGUGCUUAACACAUGCAAGUCGAACGGAAAGGCCCUGCUUUUGUGGGGUGCUCGAGUGGCGAACGGGUGAGUAACACGUGAGUAACCUGCCCUUGACUUUGGGAUAACUUCAGGAAACUGGGGCUAAUACCGGAUAGGAGCUCCUGCUGCAUGGUGUGGGUUGGAAAGUUUCGGCGGUUGGGGAUGGACUGGCGGCUUAUCGGCUUGUUGGUGGGGUAGUGGCUUACCAAGGCUUUGACGGGUAGCCGACCUGAGAGGGUGACCGGCCACACGGGAAAGGAGACACGGUCCAGAGGGGUAAGGGAGGCAGAGGUAGGGAAUCUUCAGCAAGGGGCGAAAGCGUGACGGAGCAGAGCCGCGUGAGUGAUGAAGGUAUUCGGAUCGGAAAACGCUGUUAUGAGGGAAGAACAUAUGUGGAAGUAACUGUGCACAUCUUGACGGUACCUAAUAAGAAAGACAAGGCUAACUACGUG